Molecule: ribosomal RNA, 447 nt
Filed under: uncultured bacterium
Lineage: Bacteria
Description: bacterial SSU rRNA
Rfam family: Bacterial small subunit ribosomal RNA
Source: RNAcentral
UGGGGAAUAUUGGACAAUGGGCGCAAGCCUGAUCCAGCCAUGCCGCGUGAGUGACGAAGGCCUUAGGGUUGUAAAGCUCUUUCGGCGGGGAAGAUAAUGACGGUACCCGCAGAAGAAGCCCCGGCUAACUCUGUGCCAGCAGCCGCGGUAAUACAGAGGGGGCAAGCGUUGUUCGGAAUCACUGGGCGUAAAGCGCACGUAGGUGGAUAGUUAAGUUCGGGGUGAAAUCCCAGGGCUCAACCCUGGAACUGCCUCGGAUACUGGCUAUCUCGAGUCCGGAAGAGGUGAGUGGAAUUCCUAGUGUAGAGGUGAAAUUCGUAGAUAUUAGGAAGAACACCGGUGGCGAAGGCGGCUCACUGGUCCGGUACUGACACUGAGGUGCGAAAGCGUGGGGAGCAAACAGGAUUAGAUACCCCCGUAGUCCCUGAGCGGGCUGGCAAGGCGCAU